This 776-nucleotide ribosomal RNA is filed under the name uncultured archaeon. Its description in RNAcentral is "bacterial SSU rRNA". It matches the Rfam family "Archaeal small subunit ribosomal RNA", at positions 579 to 1353 of the family's 1478-position model. The record is from RNAcentral.
AAAAACUGCAAAGCUAGGGAGUGGGAGAGGUAGACGGUACUCGGUAGGAAGGGGUAAAAUCCUUUGAUCUAUUGAUGACCACCUGUGGCGAAGGCGGUCUACCAGAACACGUUCGACGGUGAGGGAUGAAAGCUGGGGGAGCAAACCGGAUUAGAUACCCGGGUAGUCCCAGCUGUAAACGAUGCAGACUCGGUGAUGCCCUGGCUUGUGGCCAGUGCAGUGCCGCAGGGAAGCCGUUAAGUUUGCCGCCUGGGAAGUACGUACGCAAGUAUGAAACUUAAAGGAAUUGGCGGGGGAGCACCACAAGGGGUGAAGCCUGCGGUUCAAUUGGAGUCAACGCCAGAAAUCUUACCCGAGGAGACAGCAGAAUGAAGGUCAAGCUGGAGACUUUACCAGACAAGCUGAGAAGUGGUGCAUGGCCGUCGCCAGCUCGUGCCGUGGGAUGUCCUGUUAAGUCAGGUAACGAGCGAGAUCCCUGCCUCUAGUUGCCACCAUUACUCUCAGGAGUAGUGGGGCGAAUUAGCGGGACCGCCGUAGUUAAUACGGAGGAAGGAAGGGGCCACGGCAGGUCAGUAUGCCCCGAAACUCUGGGGCCACACGCGGGCUGCAAUGGUAACGACAAUGUGUUCCGAAUCCGAAAGGAGGAGGUAAUCCAGAAACGUUACCACAGUUAUGACUGAGGGCUGCAACUCGCCCUCACGAAUAUGGAAUCCCUAGUAACUGCGUGUCAUUAUCGCGCGGUGAAUACGUCCCUGCUCCUUGCACACACCGCCCGU